Molecule: unclassified non-coding RNA, 1012 nt
Filed under: Hevea brasiliensis (rubber tree)
Lineage: Eukaryota; Viridiplantae; Streptophyta; Magnoliopsida; Malpighiales; Euphorbiaceae
Source: RNAcentral
AUCUUUCUACAGAUGCUUGAUAUUCUUCGUUGUAGGCUUCUUUUUGGGUAUGUUAUUGUUUGGUCAUGUGGAUAAUGAUGUCCGGAAUCAUGAUUUCUCUUUUGAGAUCAAGCCGCCACAUGUCAAUGUUCAAUUAGACGACGGCGAUAAUCGCAGUAUUAAGCACGGUGUUUUUGCUCUAAAUUCUGUGAGUUUGGGGGUUGAUGCGCAACUGAACUACGUUUCCAGAUUUGAUUUUGUCCCGAGGAAGCAAUUAAUCGUGAUUACGCCGACGUAUAAUCGUGCUUUACAGGCCUAUUUUUUGAAUAGAUUAGGGCAGGUGCUCAGGCUAGUGCAGCCUCCGCUGUUGUGGAUUGUGGUGGAAAUGAAGGCGGCGUCGAUGGAGACAGCAGACAUUCUGAGGAAAACGGGGGUAAUGUAUAGGCAUGUGGUGUGCGAGAGAAAUUCGACGACUGAGAAAGACAGAGGUGUACACCAGAGGAAUGCGGCUUUGGAUCACAUAGAGAGACAUAGGCUGGAUGGGAUUGUGUAUUUCGCUGAUGAUGAUAAUGUGUAUUCGCUUGAGUUGUUCGAAAGCCUGAGAGAAAUCAGCCGAUUUGGCACUUGGCCUGUUGCAAUGCUUGCACAAAGUAAAAACAAAGCAAUUUUGGAAGGUCCAGUAUGUAAUCGAACUCAGGUAAUUGGAUGGCAUACCAAUGAAAAAAGCAAAAGACUUCGAAGGUUUCAUGUUGAUAUGUCAGGAUUUGCCUUCAACAGCACUAUCUUGUGGGACCCAAAGAGAUGGAAGCGCCGCUCUUUGAAACCAAUUCGACAGUUAGACACAGUGAAGGAGGGUUUCCAAGAGACCACAUUCAUAGAGCAAGUGGUGGAAGAUGAAAGUCAAAUGGAAGGUGUUCCUCCUGACUGUUCAAGGAUACUGAAUUGGCAUCUUCAUUUGGAUGCUCGAGGUCUUGUCUAUCCCAGAGGCUGGCUGCUUCAGAAGAACCUUGAUGUCAUUCUCCCUGUCAAAUGA